GCUAAUUCCAAAACACUUACUUCACUUCUCAGCUACUGGUCUUCUUCUAAUUCAACUCUUCGUCAUCAUCCUUCUUCUUGUGCCCUCACUCUCCAUUGCGGCGCCGCCGUCUUUGUCUCUUCCUCUUCCCCUUUCACUUCCCCAAUUCCAAUUCAAGUUUCGUGGUAUCAUUCUAUUCUCACAAUUUCAAUUUCUAUCUUCCUUUCCAUCAGCUGAUCCUGUAGUUGACUUUGAUUUUCAGAUUGUGGCCACACUUGGAAUCGAUGCACAGCCUUAACGUGAUUAUGAGCCUCUUUAGAUUAUGAUUUCGUGUGCUCCUGCUUCCGGAAAAGGCACUCAAUACGAGCUUAUCAAACAC
Molecule: long non-coding RNA, 358 nt
Filed under: Arachis ipaensis
Lineage: Eukaryota; Viridiplantae; Streptophyta; Magnoliopsida; Fabales; Fabaceae
Description: long non-coding RNA (AIPA_LNC000813)
Source: RNAcentral